GAUGAACGCUGGCGGCGUGCCUAAUACAUGCCAGUCGAGCGAACAGACGAGGAGCUUGCUCCUCUGGCGUUAGCGGCGGACGGGUGAGUAACACGUGGAUAACCUACCUAUAAGACUGGGAUAACUUCGGGAAACCGGAGCUAAUACCGGAUAAUAUAUUGAACCGCAUGGUUCAAUAGUGAAAGACGGUUUUGCUGUCACUUAUAGAUGGAUCCGCGCCGCAUUAGCUAGUUGGUAAGGUAACGGCUUACCAAGGCAACGAUGCGUAGCCGACCUGAGAGGGUGAUCGGCCACACGGGAACUGAGACACGGCCCAAACCCCUAGGGGAGGCAGCAGUAGGGAAUUUUCCGCAAGGGGCGAAAGCCGAACGGAGCAACGCCGGGGGGGGGAUGAAGGUCUUCGGAUCGUAAAACUCUGUUAUUAGGGAAAAAAAAAUGUGUAAGUAACUAUGCACGUCUGGACGGUACCUAAUCAGAAAGCCACGGCUAACUACGU
Molecule: ribosomal RNA, 496 nt
Filed under: uncultured bacterium
Lineage: Bacteria
Description: partial 16S ribosomal RNA
Rfam family: Bacterial small subunit ribosomal RNA
Source: RNAcentral